CAGUCGCCGCGGUAAUACGAAGGGGGCUAGCGUUGCUCGGAAUGACUGGGCGUAAAGGGCGCGUAGGCGGUUUGCACAGUAGGGUGUGAAAUUCCUGGGCUUAACCUGGGGACUGCAUUCGAGACGUGUAGGCUUGAGUGGGGAAGAGGGUCGUGGAAUUCCUAGUGUAGAGGUGAAAUUCGUAGAUAUUGGGAAGAACACCGGUGGCGAAGGCGGCGACCUGGUCCUUUACUGACGCUGAGGCGCGAAAGCGUGGGGAGCAAACAGGAUUAGAUACCCCCGUAGUCCCUGUCUCUUAUAC
Molecule: ribosomal RNA, 301 nt
Filed under: uncultured bacterium
Lineage: Bacteria
Description: partial 16S ribosomal RNA
Rfam family: Bacterial small subunit ribosomal RNA
Source: RNAcentral